Molecule: ribosomal RNA, 252 nt
Filed under: uncultured bacterium
Lineage: Bacteria
Description: partial 16S ribosomal RNA
Rfam family: Bacterial small subunit ribosomal RNA
Source: RNAcentral
UACAGAGGGUGCAAGCGUUGUUCGGAAUUAUUGGGCGUAAAGCGCGUGUAGGCGGCCUUGCAAGUCGGGUGUGAAAUCCCUCAGCUUAACUGAGGAAGUGCGCCCGAAACUGCAGAGCUUGAAUACCAGAGAGGAUGGCGGAAUUCCCAAGUAGAGGUGAAAUUCGUAGAGAUGGGGAGGAACACCGGUGGCGAAGGCGGCCAUCUGGCUGGAUAUUGACGCUGAGACGCGAAAGCGUGGGUAGCAAACAGG